Odocoileus virginianus texanus is the source of this 140-nucleotide long non-coding RNA. RefSeq lists it as uncharacterized. NCBI's taxonomy places the organism in Eukaryota, Metazoa, Chordata, Mammalia, Artiodactyla, Cervidae. The record is from RefSeq and is a predicted model, not a curated record.
CUUCCUGACCCAGGAAUUGAAUCCACAUCUCUUAUUGGCAGGAAAGGAAACAGUCACCCAAGUCCAGGAAGCACAGACAGUCCUAGGCAGGAUAAACUCCAGGAACGCGCCAAGACACACAGUAAUCACACUGACAAAAA